GGCUCUUUGAAAUAAACACAUAAAGAGUCGAACCUGCCCAGUGAUUUAUUUAAACGGCCGCGGUACUCUGACCGUGCAAAGGUAGCAUAAUCAUUUGCCCUAUAAUUGAGGGCUUGUAUGAACGGUUUGACAAGAGCAUAACUGUCUCUUAAAAAUUUUAUAGAAUUUGGUUUUUAGGUGAAGAAACCUAAAUAUAAUUGAAAGACAAGAAGACCCUAUCGAGCUUUAGAGUAAUUAAUUAAAAAGUAUGAUUAAAAUAAUUAAUUUUAGUUAAAAACUUUGGUUGGGGCGACUGAGGAACAUAUAAAGCUUCUUUUAUUAAAAUAUGCCUAUAAGCUAUGAUCCAAAAAAUUUGAUUAAAAAAAUUAGUUACCGUAGGGAUAACAGCAUAAUCUUUUUCAAGAGUUCUUAUCGAAAAAAAGGUUUGUGACCUCGAUGUUGGACUAGGAUAUCUUAAAGAUGCAGAAGUCUUUAAAAGUUGGUCUGUUCGACCAUUAAAAUCCU
This 504-nucleotide ribosomal RNA is filed under the name Neotricula aperta. Its description in RNAcentral is "partial 16S large subunit ribosomal RNA". It matches the Rfam family "Bacterial large subunit ribosomal RNA", at positions 1816 to 2597 of the family's 2925-position model. Lineage: Eukaryota; Metazoa; Mollusca; Gastropoda; Littorinimorpha; Pomatiopsidae. The record is from RNAcentral.